Molecule: transfer RNA, 72 nt
Filed under: Aedes aegypti (yellow fever mosquito)
Lineage: Eukaryota; Metazoa; Arthropoda; Insecta; Diptera; Culicidae
Rfam family: tRNA
About the family: Transfer RNA (tRNA) molecules are approximately 80 nucleotides in length. Their secondary structure includes four short double-helical elements and three loops (D, anti-codon, and T loops).
Source: Rfam by way of RNAcentral
GGCUCGGUGGCUUAGUUGUUAAAGCGCUCGUCUAGCAUACAAGAGUCAUGGGUCCAAAUCCCAGCCAAGCAC